Molecule: long non-coding RNA, 297 nt
Filed under: Capsella rubella
Lineage: Eukaryota; Viridiplantae; Streptophyta; Magnoliopsida; Brassicales; Brassicaceae
Description: long non-coding RNA (CRUB_LNC000836)
Source: RNAcentral
AAAGGUACCGUAAAAAGGUUAGUUGUGCAAAUCCCCCUUCUAAAUUCUUUGUCGAUAAAAAACAAAAAGUAAGUUAUAGUUUUACUAGGAUUUACUCCGUGGUACCAUAAUUUAUUAUAUUUGUUUGGUUAAUUAUUUUCGUAGUUGGUUUAUACGUGUUUAUUUUAUUUUAAUUUUAUAUAAUUUUAUGAAUUUGUAUUAUAAGUAGAUUCAUAGAUAUAUGUGGUCAACCCGCAAUACACCGCUGGACGAUUUUGUUAUAAAUAAAAAAUUAUAUUUUAACUAAACCCGUAAAAG